AGCGAACGCUGGCGGCAGGCCUAACACAUGCAAGUCGAACGAACCUUUCGGGGUUAGUGGCGGACGGGUGAGUAACACGUGGGAACGUGCCUUUAGGUUCGGAAUAACUCAGGGAAACUUGUGCUAAUACCGAAUGUGCCCUUCGGGGGAAAGAUUUAUCGCCUUUAGAGCGGCCCGCGUCUGAUUAGCUAGUUGGUUGAGGUAAUGGCUCACCAAGGCGACGAUCAGUAGCUGGUCUGAGAGGAUGAUCAGCCACAUUGGGACUGAGACACGGCCCAAACUCCUACGGGAGGCAGCAGUGGGGAAUCCUGCGCAAUGGGCGAAAGCCUGACGCAGCCAUGCCGCGUGAAUGAUGAAGGUCUUAGGAUUGUAAAAUUCUUUCACCGGGGACGAUAAUGACGGUACCCGGAGAAGAAGCCCCGGCUAACUUCGUG
Molecule: ribosomal RNA, 434 nt
Filed under: uncultured bacterium
Lineage: Bacteria
Description: partial 16S ribosomal RNA
Rfam family: Bacterial small subunit ribosomal RNA
Source: RNAcentral